GUCGGUUUGAUUAACAGACACUAUCAAAGUAAGUAACCAAAGCAGUUCUCAUCUCUAAGCCUGUCGCGAGACAUUCCUUCUUUUUGAGUCUUCUCUUACGUUCUGAUUAAAAUCUGUUCUCAGGCCAUUACGCCGGAAGGCUCUAUUAUUAAGGAAUUAAACAUGUCUAACAAAAUCCGCGGUACCGUUAAAUGGUUCAACGCUGAGAAAGGCUUCGGUUUCAUCUCUCCUCAGGACGGCAGCAAAGAUGUAUUCGUACAUUUCUCUGCAAUUCAGGGCACAGAUUUCCGUUCAUUAGAUGAAGGUCAACAAGUUGAGUUUACAGUAGAAAAUGGUGCCAAAGGCCCAGCUGCUGCGAACGUUGUUGGUCUCUAAGGACUGAAAAUUACGCGUUUUAAAUGUCCUCACUGUAGUGGCUCG
This is a regulatory RNA element of Pantoea ananatis LMG 20103, 420 nucleotides long. It matches the Rfam family "cspA thermoregulator". Lineage: Bacteria; Pseudomonadati; Pseudomonadota; Gammaproteobacteria; Enterobacterales; Erwiniaceae. The record is from Rfam.